CGUUCGAUCCGGGCCCCUCUGGCGGCUUUUCGUGCGUUGUCCCGCACGGGCCGUGAUGUCGGAUCUUUCAC
Molecule: regulatory RNA element, 71 nt
Organism: Rhodovulum sp. PH10
Lineage: Bacteria; Pseudomonadati; Pseudomonadota; Alphaproteobacteria; Rhodobacterales; Paracoccaceae
Rfam family: terC RNA
Source: Rfam